Molecule: non-coding RNA, 82 nt
Organism: Brassica napus (rape)
Lineage: Eukaryota; Viridiplantae; Streptophyta; Magnoliopsida; Brassicales; Brassicaceae
Source: Rfam
GAUGAUGGAGAUGAUGUGUUUUUGUGUGAGUAUGAGUACGACGUGAAUUGGCGUAGUUUCAAGCCUUUGGCUGAUGGAGAUU